This is a long non-coding RNA of Athalia rosae (coleseed sawfly), 4012 nucleotides long. RefSeq lists it as uncharacterized. The record is from RefSeq and is a predicted model, not a curated record. The transcript is spliced from 2 exons. NCBI's taxonomy places the organism in Eukaryota, Metazoa, Arthropoda, Insecta, Hymenoptera, Athaliidae.
GCGGGCGCCGCGCCGCGCAUUCCCAGGGCCAGGCAACGGCAGCAGCACCGCCAUCAUCACCAUCGGCGAACAUCAACUGGGGGGAGAGAAAGAGGAGAAAAAGAGAGAGGUAGAACUAGACCAAGCCAGGGUUCGUUCGUUCGUUCGUUCGUUCGUUCGUUCGGGUUUGGUGUAGCCGUCUGUUGGAUGCGAAAGUGUACGAUUACGUCCGAGUAUCUCCGAUGGGAGUGAAACCGACGCUCGGCGUCCCGCGCAUAUGGUGGGUAUACGUAUGCAUCCAACCCUUCGACUUUGGUGCCGCCAUGGCGUCCCUUCCUACUUUUCGACAAAAUUCUAUUCCCGCUAUCGGCAAAGUAUGGGGUCCUGGGCGCGCCGAGGGAAAAAAGAACAAUCCCGAUAUCCACUCAAUUUAGAAAAUCGCGGGAUGCGGGGGAGAAAUGGCGAAAAACGCGAUAAAACGGCAAGACGGAAAAUUCGUAUGCUUUGGAUUUUUUUUGGAGAAUAAAGAAGAGAUAAUUUAAAUGAACGGUUGGGGUGCCGUGGGGUGUGGAGCAACGCUAUCGAUUGGAACGAAAAUUUUCGAGUCCCCGAGUCCGUGACGAAGGCGACGGGUGACGGGUGACGAAAAAAAGCGAUUCGGAAAAUAUUACACGCUCAAAAAUGACACGCUGUUUUCGCGUUACACUUGGUGUUUUCGCGUUAUCCGAUACCACUUAUCCCUACGAAUCGAACAGUUGUUCGGUGUAAUUAAUCACACGCCAAUGACGUUUCGUACCUUCGAAGUUACUCGGUUUUAUAAUCGCGGGUUCUCCACACGUCCCCGGCACAUACGUGAUAUGCUUUGACACGAUGUUGCGACAAACAACGAAAUGUCAACGUCCCUGGUAGAGGUCGAGGAUUUCGGAACACAGACUGCAGGGUGGAAGUAUUUGCCUCAAUUGAUUAUCUUUAUGUACCAUCGAUACGUAACUCCCGCUAGUUACGGAGUUGCGUCUAAUUUGAUAAAGCCUAUCACGCGGAUCGUCGAAUGGACGAAAUCCAACUCCGCAACUCGAAUCCUAUCCCCCUGCGCGCAUGUAUCGAAUGAAAAAACCACUCAGGGAAUACGAAAUACAAGUCGCACUUUGAAUGAGAAGCUUCGGCGAGAAGAAAGGGAUUGCGCAAAUGAAGGAAAACCGAGAAACUUGGUCGGAAAAGUGAGAAAAAACCACCCAAAAGCUAUGGUACUGGUUCCGAUCUAGCGAGAGACGGGGCGAAUCGGUACCGUCAUCUUUCGGGUUUUGCGAUUGGAACAAAAUGGAAACGCGACCGAAGCUCGGCGAAUUUUACUCCAAGUGCGCACCGUCGAAAAUUUCUCGGAAGGUAACGAUUCGAGUCUAGCAAUACCGUUUUUAUACCUGAAUUUCAAAUUCCUACAGGUAUGUAUAAACGCCGGCAUUCACGGGGUUCUUUGAAACUCGUAGUGGCAACGUUGUGGAACACGGGAUCGCAGGUGCUACCUACGGAAACCUACACUUACCGUUGGCCAAACCGACCAUCGGGUCUAGAAGGAGAGGAAAAAAAAACGAGAGAGAAACCGAAGCGGCAGGAAAAACACACGCGGUGUUCAAAAAUUACUCGGCCAUCCGGAGACUCAACGGACCGAACCACAUGUUCUAGAAAUCUGGGCUGUAAAGCGUUUUAAAAACUGCUUCGCUCCCAAAAAGAAAUCUGGCAGCAAUAUUUUGCUCGUUGAAAAUGUGAACGCCCCGCGGGAGUGCACAGUACGCUGCAACGCUAUUGCCGUUACCGCAAAUAUGUUGGCGCAUUUUUUUACCGACUUUUCAAGGUCGACGAUCGGUGUCUGGGGUCUUUUAUCGAUAAAAAAGUGAAACAUUCCAAUGUCAAUGGACACCAUAGCUGGAUCGCACAGGAAUCGAUACGAUAACAUCGUUUCACCACAAUUGGCGGGUACCAAUUAAUUUGAAAUGAAACUUGUUUGAAUAACGCAAGUUUGAAAAUGAUUAUCACACAUCUAUCUGUAUCAUCACAUACCGUAUAUUAUGAGAGGAUAAGACAAGAGGGUAUCGAUACGUUUACCGCACGUAAUAUCCCAAGGGCUCGCGUUACAUUCGUAUACGUAUAUAUUAUUCCCUCGUUUCGUACAGUCAGCGAAUUUCUUGCCGUAAAUAUACCACGUACAUAAUUGAAACGUACAUUUCGGUGCGUGUGAAAAAUUUGUAAUCGCAACCGUAAAAAAAAAACAAACCUCGGAACAUUUGGAGAGGAACGCUGGAACGAAUACUCGCGAGUUUUUUUUUCUAUUUUUUUUUUUUUUUUUUUUAAAUUACCACAUGUGUAACGUUGGACUGUACGCAACCAGGUGUGGACGGGUAGAGGGUAUUACGAAUAGAAGAUACAACACUUGAACCCUCGUUCAAUUCAAACAGAGGUACGCAGGUGAAGUAAAUAAGAUUGGAAUCUUCGCCAUCUAUAACCGAGCAAUUCCGUCGAAUGUAUAAUUCAGACUUCGACGUACAAAUGUAUCGAAUAGUAUCCAACGUGAUAACGACUUGUACCAAAAUUUAUUUUUACACCCGCGACGAUAUGGAAUAUGUAAUAGACAGCGGUGGAAGUGAUAGGCAGAUUGCAGGGAAAGGUGAAAAAAGGUGUAGAAUGUUAUCGUGACUCGUAAAAAUCCCGAACCCCGUGCGGUUAUUUGACCGGUGAGUUCGUAUGCUACUGUAGCGGUAUGAAACCGGGCAUUUUUGAAAGAUAAGAAAUAGUAUAAAUAAUACCGACCAAAGCAACAACCAUAAUCAUAAUUAUAAUGAUAAUGACGACGUCGACGACGAUACCAAGUACAUCAAGAGUUUGAUGGAAAAAUUAAUAACUAUUUUUAAAAACUAAAUGUCGUUAAACUGGUUGAUUUCGAAGUCAUCGUACAGACUCUGGUCGUCGAUCGGUGUUGGAAAAGGAAUCUCAACUCUGAUAUCGAUUCAAAAUAAUACAAGGGUUCGUUCAAACGCAGAGUAGUUGGAUAAUUGAAUGCAUAUUUCACCGUUACAAACAUACCUAUCACUCCACAAUGAGAUCAUAUUUGAAUCGAUUCAAUGGCAAAGCCUUCGAUUAAAGUACACCCCUAACACAAGACGGGCAAUUUGAAGUUUUUGUCAAACAUGGCCAACCUGAAUCAAUUUGAUAGUCUCGAUUAAUAUUCCGAAUUGCAUCGGUGAAAUGAUAGAAGCUGCAGAGGUAGCGGCUAUGAAAAGCGAUUGAAAAUUCAUGGAAGAAAGUGUGUCGCAAGCAAGAUUGAAUCGAUUGCCCGAUGUGGCGAAGAAAAAUGUAUCGAAAAAAUAAUCAACGUGACAUUUAGAAAUCAUUCCAAAAUUGAAAUCACACAAUUUGGUGAUUAUUCCAUACUUCAAAUUCUCCGUUGUACGAUCAAGAUUUCAACAUUAUACACAUAUAUGCGUACAAAAAAAUAUCCAACGUGAAAACAUGAAGAUUUGAAAUUGUCGUUUCAAAAUCUUCCGCCAUUUGACAAAGAGAGGAAGAAUAUAAUGGGGGAAAAGAAAAAAAGAACGAGUACCCGCGAGUCGAUAUACAGAAUCGCGCACGCGCGUAGAAUAGCAAUGUUUAUAAAUACCGUAUAUUCUGACAUAACGUUGAUUCGACGAACAAUAUUACGAAGUCGGUAGAUAACAGGGGUUGAAAAGUCCGUAUUGUGUACAGAUGUAGGCAAAAAAGAAAAUUAAUUUCAAAUAUUUAUCACGCGAGUCUCAAGUGUCCUCCCGACUAACGUAGUACGACGUCCGUCCCUUCCACGACUUUGGUUGGACAACCGAAACACAUGGCGGACGUAUUCGGACUUGGUCGACAAUUUCCGGCAUGCGAACGCCAGCACACGACACGAGCUCGUCGAAUGUCGAGAAACCAGAAUCGAAAUACAAAUACACAUAUAUCUACCGUGUAUGUGGAUAGAAAUUGAAUGAAAAAAUAAAAUAAAAAAUGAAAUAAAAUAAUGAAAAAA